AUUGAACGCUGGCGGCAUGCCUUACACAUGCAAGUCGAACGGUAACAGGUCUUCGGACGCUGACGAGUGGCGAACGGGUGAGUAAUACAUCGGAACGUGCCCAGUCGUGGGGGAUAACUACUCGAAAGAGUAGCUAAUACCGCAUACGAUCUGAGGAUGAAAGCGGGGGACCUUCGGGCCUCGCGCGAUUGGAGCGGCCGAUGGCAGAUUAGGUAGUUGGUGGGAUAAAAGCUUACCAAGCCGACGAUCUGUAGCUGGUCUGAGAGGACGACCAGCCACACUGGGACUGAGACACGGCCCAGACUCCUACGGGAGGCAGCAGUGGGGAAUUUUGGACAAUGGGCGAAAGCCUGAUCCAGCAAUGCCGCGUGCAGGAUGAAGGCCUUCGGGUUGUAAACUGCUUUUGUACGGAACGAAAAAGCUUCUCCUAAUACGAGAGGCCCAUGACGGUACCGUAAGAAUAAGCACCGGCUAACUACGUGCCAGCCGCCGCCGUAACAC
Molecule: ribosomal RNA, 501 nt
Filed under: uncultured bacterium
Lineage: Bacteria
Description: bacterial SSU rRNA
Rfam family: Bacterial small subunit ribosomal RNA
Source: RNAcentral